RNAcentral lists this transfer RNA (84 nucleotides) under Pseudomonadota bacterium. Its description in RNAcentral is "tRNA-Leu". It matches the Rfam family "tRNA". Rfam says of the family: Transfer RNA (tRNA) molecules are approximately 80 nucleotides in length. RNAcentral also lists the same sequence under 1 other name. The record is from RNAcentral. Lineage: Bacteria; Pseudomonadati; Pseudomonadota.
GCGCGGGUGGCGGAAUUGGUAGACGCACAGCCUUGAGGUGGCUGCGAGAUUAUUCUCGUGGAGGUUCGAGUCCUCUCCCGCGCA